RNAcentral lists this ribosomal RNA (432 nucleotides) under uncultured bacterium. RNAcentral describes it as "partial 16S ribosomal RNA". It matches the Rfam family "Bacterial small subunit ribosomal RNA", at positions 29 to 506 of the family's 1533-position model. The record is from RNAcentral.
AACGAACGCUGGCGGCAUGCCUAACACAUGCAAGUCGAACGAGACCUUCGGGUCUAGUGGCGCACGGGUGCGUAACGCGUGGGAACCUGCCCUUAGGUUCGGAAUAACUCCCCGAAAGGGGUGCUAAUACCGGAUAAUGUCUUCGGACCAAAGAUUUAUCGCCUUUGGAUGGGCCCGCGUUGGAUUAGCUAGUUGGUAGGGUAAAAGCCUACCAAGGCGACGAUCCAUAGCUGGUCUGAGAGGAUGAUCAGCCACACUGGGACUGAGACACGGCCCAGACCCCUACGGGAGGCAGCAGUGGGGAAUAUUGGAAAAUGGGCGAAAGCCUGAUCCAGCAAUGCCGCGGGAGUGAUGAAGGCCUUGGGGUUGAAAAGCUUUUUUACCCGGGAUGAUAAUGACAGGACCGGGAGAAUAAGCCCCGGCUAACUCCGG